AUAUCAAUAAGCGGAGGAAAAGAAACCAACAGGGAUUGCCUCAGUAACGGCGAGUGAAGCGGCAACAGCUCAAAUUUGAAAUCUGCCCGCAAGGGCCGAGUUGUAAUUUGUAGAGGAUGUUUUGGGUACCGCCGCGGUUUAAUUUUCUUGGAACAGGAAGCCAAAGAGGGUGAGAGUCCCGUCUUGGACCGCGGUAGGGCUCGUGUAAAACUCCUUCGACGAGUCGAGUUGUUUGGGAAUGCAGCUCAAAAUGGGUGGUAAAUUUCAUCUAAAGCUAAAUAUUGGCCAGAGACCGAUAGCGCACAAGUAGAGUGAUCGAAAGAUGAAAAGCACUUUGAAAAGAGAGUUAAACAGUAUGUGAAAUUGUUGAAAGGGAAGCGCUGGCAACCAGACUCGAGCGCGGUGUUCCCCCUGGCUUCUGCCUGGGUUACUUCACCGUGUCCGGGCCAUCAUCAGUUUUGGGGACCGGUUAAAGGCCCCGGGAAUGUAUCGUCUCCUUCGGGGGACGACUUAUAGCCCGGGGUGUCAUGCGGCCUCCCGGGACUGAGGAACGCGCUUCGGCGAGGAUGAUGGCGUAAUGGUUGUCAGCGA
RNAcentral lists this ribosomal RNA (591 nucleotides) under uncultured fungus. RNAcentral describes it as "eukaryotic LSU rRNA". It matches the Rfam family "Eukaryotic large subunit ribosomal RNA", at positions 40 to 647 of the family's 3401-position model. The record is from RNAcentral. Lineage: Eukaryota; Fungi.